Non-coding RNA from Pelobates cultripes (western spadefoot toad), 259 nucleotides. NCBI's taxonomy places the organism in Eukaryota, Metazoa, Chordata, Amphibia, Anura, Pelobatidae. The record is from the annotation of a GenBank genome assembly.
CUGGGAUCUGUUUUACUGAAACAAAACAAAAUGACAACACGGGAGGAGGGGAGAGGAGGGGGAUACUAUGUCGUCGCCUUCCCUCGGUUUGUUUUUUUGGGGGGUGGGGGAGGGGGGUCGGUGAGAGUCUGGAUUUUUCUUCUUCGCAGACCAGCGGUCGGUAGGGAUGUUGUUAUUAAUGUUUUGGUUUUUUUAAAGGGAGUAUUUUUUUUUUUUUGUUUUAGGAACAACUCCCCCCCUCACUUGCUCCAGCAGCAGC